GUCACCAGUUCUGGAUUUUACCAGGCAACAGUAAUGGAGUGACCUAGAGGAUCUUCUCUCUAAUGUUAGCUCUCUGUGGAGACAGUCACUCAACCAAAUCCCCAACCGGAUUAAAGGUUGGUGUAGACCAUGGAUUUCUCUUGCAGUCAGACAAAGGCUAUUUUGAUUCCACCAUCUUAGAUCUCCUCCCAGAGCAGCAAUCUCUUAAAAGAGUCCUGAAGAAACUGGGAUUUAUGAUCUUGCAAGUCACAGACUUGGUCUUGGAAUCCCUGAUGGAGAAGCUUCCAACUCUUCCACAGAGUCAUCACCCUGGAGAACGGAGCCCAGAGCAGCUGGCAGCUGACAAAGGAACUCACUCCAUGGCCAAAAAUGGAGAACCAGCCAGUUUUUGACAGAACACUGGUUGUACCAAUACUAUGAGCCUCUUCUCCAUGAACUACUUCUAGAGCAUAGAGGCUAGACAUUAAGUAAAGUCUUCUGAUCAGUAAGAAUCACUGUAGAAUAGUGAAACAAGCAAGGCCUUUACAUGACACUGUGGUUUGAAUCCUACCUUCUCCAUUAGCAAUUUAUUUUUUGACAUGAUAGGCCUUUCGACUUUAUGAAUAACACAUUCUGGGGUUGAAACUUAGAGGUUAUUCCAAGGAUUAUUGGGAGAAAUAACUAAGUUAAUGUGGAAAUAUCCAAAACUGAAUGGGAACUCCAGAAAUCCAGUCAUCUCCACAGACUCACUUCCUCUGAUAGGCCCUCAAGUAAUGAAAUUCAAGACAGAUAAUGACCUAUUUUGUAAGAGAGCAAAUUAAAUUAUGAAAGGAUUCACGACGUGUUGUUGAAGUAACUGAGAAUGUCUGAGCAGGAGAGAAGAAGAUGAGUUAAAAGUAGCCAUUACUACUACCCAUCCUGGAAGAAAGUUUUCCCCCAAAUGCAGGACUAAGCAUAAUACCAGUGUGUCGAAGGCACAGAGAAGAGAGAGCAAUUCAGCAUUCUCAACAGGCAGAAUUUCCCAAAGAGAACAGCUGAGACAUUGAAAAGCACUUGACGCUGACAUCGGACACUGAAAAGCAAAACCCCUCGAUUUGGGAGUCUCUAAUUCCAUUCUUCUCUUCAAGCCAAGCAGCUACACUGAGCUUGAUCCAUGAGAAAUCUCACCACUGUGGCUGAGCACAUGCUUCAGAGAGCACCUGAGCUGACAUCACUCCCCUGCCCUUUCUCAGAUUCUAUUUUCUUACUCGUCUAGGGACUGUGGGCCUGAUUGUUCUAAUCCAAAUGGAUGUCCAACACUAAACACAUUCUCUUCCCUUCUCUCUCUUUAACCCAACCCUCAAUUUCUCUGGGUUCCAUGGCCACUAACUAACCUCACAGAACUAAAGAGAAAUGGCGCAGUCAUAAGUGAGCAGUCACCUUCUCCCUCCUCCCAGUCCUCUGGGAGUCUCUGAAGUCUCUGUCCCCACUGACAC
Non-coding RNA from Heterocephalus glaber (naked mole-rat), 1454 nucleotides. NCBI's taxonomy places the organism in Eukaryota, Metazoa, Chordata, Mammalia, Rodentia, Bathyergidae. The record is from RefSeq and is a predicted model, not a curated record.